RNAcentral lists this ribosomal RNA (672 nucleotides) under Burkholderia sp. RNAcentral's name for it is "bacterial SSU rRNA". It matches the Rfam family "Bacterial small subunit ribosomal RNA", at positions 399 to 1061 of the family's 1533-position model. Lineage: Bacteria; Pseudomonadati; Pseudomonadota; Betaproteobacteria; Burkholderiales; Burkholderiaceae. The record is from RNAcentral.
GCGUGUGUGAAGAAGGCCUUCGGGUUGUAAAGCACUUUUGUCCGGAAAGAAAUCCCCUGCUCUAAUACAGCGGGGGGAUGACGGUACCGGAAGAAUAAGCACCGGCUAACUACGUGCCAGCAGCCGCGGUAAUACGUAGGGUGCGAGCGUUAAUCGGAAUUACUGGGCGUAAAGCGUGCGCAGGCGGUUUUGUAAGACAGGCGUGAAAUCCCCGAGCUCAACUUGGGAAUGGCGCUUGUGACUGCAAGGCUAGAGUAUGUCAGAGGGGGGUAGAAUUCCACGUGUAGCAGUGAAAUGCGUAGAGAUGUGGAGGAAUACCGAUGGCGAAGGCAGCCCCCUGGGACGUCACUGACGCUCAUGCACGAAAGCGUGGGGAGCAAACAGGAUUAGAUACCCUGGUAGUCCACGCCCUAAACGAUGUCAACUAGUUGUUGGGGAUUCAUUUCUUCAGUAACGUAGCUAACGCGUGAAGUUGACCGCCUGGGGAGUACGGUCGCAAGAUUAAAACUCAAAGGAAUUGACGGGGACCCGCACAAGCGGUGGAUGAUGUGGAUUAAUUCGAUGCAACGCGAAAAACCUUACCUACCCUUGACAUGCCACUAACGAAGCAGAGAUGCAUCAGGUGCCCGAAAGGGAAAGUGGACACAGGUGCUGCAUGGCUGUCGUCAGCUC